GUCCAGACUCCUACGGGAGGCAGCAGUUGGGGAUAUUUCACAAUGGGGGAACCCCUUAUGCAGCGACUCCUCGUGUGGGCAUCCUUUCCUCUGUAUUUUAAACCACUUUCCCCCGGGACGAAUCUUCCGGUACCUUUUUCUUAAGCUCCUUCUCACUACGUGCCCUCCUCCGCGGUACUCCUUCGGGGGCACUCUUUAUCCGGAUUUACUGGGUGUAAAGGUAGCGUAGACGGAGAUGCAAGCCAGAUGUGAAAGCCCGGGGAGAAACCCCGGGACUGCAUUUGGAACUGUGUGGCUGGAGUGUCGGAGAGGAAGGCGGAAUUAAGAGUGUAGCGGUGAAAUGCGUAGAGAUGAGGAGGAACAAAAGUGGCGAAGGCGGCAGGAUGGGCUUUUAAUGACGCUGAGGCUCGAAAGUGUGGGGAGAAAACAGGAUUAGAUACCCCUGUAG
RNAcentral lists this ribosomal RNA (448 nucleotides) under uncultured bacterium. RNAcentral describes it as "bacterial SSU rRNA". It matches the Rfam family "Bacterial small subunit ribosomal RNA", at positions 329 to 793 of the family's 1533-position model. The record is from RNAcentral.